Long non-coding RNA from Hemicordylus capensis (graceful crag lizard), 1064 nucleotides. RefSeq lists it as uncharacterized. The transcript has 3 exons. The record is from RefSeq and is a predicted model, not a curated record. NCBI's taxonomy places the organism in Eukaryota, Metazoa, Chordata, Lepidosauria, Squamata, Cordylidae.
CAAGUCCAGGGCUCUUUCAGGCUCUGGUUUGCUGUCAAGGAUUAGGACUGAGUCUCAAGCUGGUCCUGCCAUCCCAGAGAAUAGCAUCUGAAAGAUAUGGACGUGUUCCUGAUGUAUGCUAACAAGAGCUGAAAAUGGGAAACACAUUUUUGACACUAAAAACACCACCACAGGAAUUAAGGCAAAUCAGGGCUUCUCAAACUUGGAUGUUGCUGCACUACAACUCCCAUCAUCUCCAGCCACAAUGGCCUUCUGGGGACCCAAGAUUGACAACCCCUUAGAGCGGUGUCUGGAUUUUGGAGCAUUCCGGAUUUCGGAUGUCCAGAUAAGGGAUACCCAGCAUGUAAUAUCAAACUUUGACAAUGCUAAGGAACAUAGCAACAAUGCUAAAAGCAGUUUGAUGGCAUGCUAGAAAUAUCUGGUCUUUGCCUGGAACUGCAGGACAUCAAGUUUGCUGACAGAUCAGUCAGUACUGCAGAAACGCAACAUGAUGUGAUUCCUGACUGGCUGGGAUAACUAUGAAGAAGAAGAAGAAGAAGAAGAAGAAGAAGAAGAAGAAGAAGAAGAAGAAGAAGAAGAAGAAGAAGAAGAAGAAGAAGAAGAAGAAGAAGAAGAAGUUUAAAAUAAACCAAGAUGAACUUUGAUCAAAAUGGAAUGUAGAGGCAGGAUAUAUAUUUUAAAUUAUAGUCACACAAGAUGGCAGUACAGAUUUUCAGCAGAGGUUUCAGGCCUGUGACCCAUGGUUAAAAAUAGCCACACCCCAAGAGACUAGCUGCGAAUUGUAUUUAUGUAUCUGAGAAAGGGAGGCAGCAAUGGGGAAUAUUCCUUAUUAUUUUCAGUUUCAAAAGCACAUAUAUCAGAAUGAAUUUGUCAGAGCUUUAUGUAAAAAGACAUCCCUCCAUGUACCCUUCCAGAACUGUGCAUUGCUUGCAUAGUUAGGACUCCAGACCGCUGGGACAGUGGCUUCUCGAGCAUUAGCUGCAGCAAAACAUAGAACUAAACCAUUAAGAGCCAAAGCUAAAACCUAAAACCAACAAUUUUAAACAUUCAAAACUGAACAUUAA